This 487-nucleotide ribosomal RNA is filed under the name uncultured bacterium. RNAcentral's name for it is "bacterial SSU rRNA". It matches the Rfam family "Bacterial small subunit ribosomal RNA", at positions 501 to 987 of the family's 1533-position model. The record is from RNAcentral.
CUACGUGCCAGCAGCCGCGGUAAUACGUAGGGUGCGAGCGUUAAUCGGAAUUACUGGGCGUAAAGCGGGCGCAGACGGUUACUUAAGCAGGAUGUGAAAUCCCCGGGCUCAACCUGGGAACUGCGUUCUGAACUGGGUGACUAGAGUGUGUCAGAGGGAGGUAGAAUUCCACGUGUAGCAGUGAAAUGCGUAGAGAUGUGGAGGAAUACCGAUGGCGAAGGCAGCCUCCUGGGAUAGCACUGACGUUCAUGCCCGAAAGCGUGGGUAGCAAACAGGAUUAGAUACCCUGGUAGUCCACGCCCUAAACGAUGUCGAUUAGCUGUUGGGCAGCUUGACUGCUUAGUAGCGAAGCUAACGCGUGAAAUCGACCGCCUGGGGAGUACGGUCGCAAGAUUAAAACUCAAAGGAAUUGACGGGGACCCGCACAAGCGGUGGAUGAUGUGGAUUAAUUCGAUGCAACGCGAAGAACCUUACCUGGUCUUGACAU